AGUGAACGCUGGCGGUAGGCCUAACACAUGCAAGUCGAACGGCAGCACAGUAAGAGCUUGCUCUUACGGGUGGCGAGUGGCGGACGGGUGAGGAAUACAUCGGAAUCUACUUUUUCGUGGGGGAUAACGUAGGGAAACUUACGCUAAUACCGCAUACGACCUACGGGUGAAAGCAGGGGAUCUUCGUACCUUGCGCGAUUUAAUUAGCCGAUGUCGGAUUAGCUAGUUGGCGGGGUAAAGGCCCACCGAGGCGACGAUCCGUAGCUGGUCUGAGAGGAUGAGCAGCCAAACUGGAAGUGAGACACGGUCCAGACGCCUACGGAAGGCAGCAGUGGGAAAUAUUGGACAAUGGGGGCAAGCAUGAUCCAGCCAUACCGAGUGGGUGAAGAAGGCCUUAGGGUUGAAAAGAGCUUUUGAAGGGAAAGAAGAGCAGCAGGAUAAUAACCGGCUGGACUGACAGUACCAAAAGAAUAAGCACCGGCUAAAUUCGUG
Molecule: ribosomal RNA, 492 nt
Filed under: uncultured bacterium
Lineage: Bacteria
Description: partial 16S ribosomal RNA
Rfam family: Bacterial small subunit ribosomal RNA
Source: RNAcentral